GUUUGUGUGUGAUGAGGAAAAUAUCACACAGUUAUCCCUAUCUGAUGCAUUUUUGUGUUGAUUACAUGUGAUCUGACACAAAC
Small nucleolar RNA from Manihot esculenta (cassava), 83 nucleotides. RefSeq annotates it as small nucleolar RNA R38. The transcript has a single exon. The record is from RefSeq and is a predicted model, not a curated record. NCBI's taxonomy places the organism in Eukaryota, Viridiplantae, Streptophyta, Magnoliopsida, Malpighiales, Euphorbiaceae.